CCUCUUUCCAUCGUGUAAUGCUUCGUGAAUAGUUUCAUUAUGCGAGCCCAUCUCUCGUAUUAUUCCUAGUUCCUGAAUCUCCACUUUUCGUUUUUAUUUUCCCAGUAUACCUUCCCAUGUCACAGGACGUCUCAGCUCUGGACAGCAUCAGCGCACUACAACACCAUGUUUUGGGGAUACCUUCAACCCACGUGGAAAGUCGCCAUUAUUUACUGUGGUUCUCAUCAUGAAGAAUUACACGGUUUUCAAGAAUACCGUUUUUUAAUUGGAUCAAGGUUUUAUUUCACUGAUUUGGGGUCAAAAUCAAAUAAUAACUCGCCGACAACCUCUCUGUUCAUAUUUUCAGGAGACAAUGUAUAUUUAUAUAAAUAAAAUUGAAAUUCUUCGUAUUUUAUUAUUUUUUUGUACAAAUAAUGUUCCGGAAUCGUCAGAAUUACUUCUCAGUAACCCUGAUCGCGGGCAGACGAGAUGACAUUACUUAAAUUUGUAUAUAUUUUAUGUUUAUUCGUAUUUACACAUGUAAGGUAAUACUGCCCAGUAUUGUAAUUUCAAGUUUGAAUGGAUAAGAAUUUUUUACAGUUGCGAAGUCUCACUUCUUCCGUUGGGACUCCACGCACAAUUUUUUUUUAACGGCACCCACUGCUUUAAAUUUUAAAAUAAAUAAACAAAUACACAUAUAUAUAUA
Danaus plexippus (monarch butterfly) is the source of this 685-nucleotide long non-coding RNA. RefSeq lists it as uncharacterized. Lineage: Eukaryota; Metazoa; Arthropoda; Insecta; Lepidoptera; Nymphalidae. The record is from RefSeq and is a predicted model, not a curated record. The transcript has 2 exons.